UGACCUCGGAUUAGGUAGGAAUACCCGCUGAACUUAAGCAUAUCAAUAAGCGGAGGA
This 57-nucleotide ribosomal RNA is filed under the name Hypoxylon fragiforme. RNAcentral's name for it is "partial 28S ribosomal RNA". It matches the Rfam family "Eukaryotic large subunit ribosomal RNA", at positions 1 to 57 of the family's 3401-position model. The record is from RNAcentral. RNAcentral also lists the same sequence under 1 other name. Lineage: Eukaryota; Fungi; Ascomycota; Sordariomycetes; Xylariales; Hypoxylaceae.